Molecule: ribosomal RNA, 254 nt
Filed under: uncultured bacterium
Lineage: Bacteria
Description: partial 16S ribosomal RNA
Rfam family: Bacterial small subunit ribosomal RNA
Source: RNAcentral
UACGUAGGGGGCGAGCGUUGUCCGGAUUUAUUGGGCGUAAAGAGCGUGUAGGCGGCCAGGUAGGUCUGCUGUGAAAACUCGAGGCUCAACCUCGAGACGUCGGCGGAAACCAUCUGGCUAGAGUCCGGAAGAGGAGAGUGGAAUUCCUGGUGUAGCGGUGAAAUGCGCAGAUAUCAGGAAGAACACCCGUGGCGAAGGCGGCUCUCUGGGACGGUACUGACGCUGAGACGCGAAAAGCGUGGGGAGCGAACAGG